UACAGAGGUGGCAAGCGUUGUUCGGAAUUACUGGGCGUAAAGGGCGCGUAGGCGGCCAUCUAAGUCAGACGUGAAAUCCCCCGGCUUAACCUGGGAACUGCAUCUGAUACUGGACGGCUCGAGUUUGGGAGAGGGAUGUGGAAUUCCAGGUGUAGCGGUGAAAUGCGUAGAUAUCUGGAGGAACACCGGUGGCGAAGGCGGCAUCCUGGACCAACACUGACGCUGAGGCGCGAAAGCUAGGGGAGCAAACGGG
Molecule: ribosomal RNA, 253 nt
Filed under: uncultured bacterium
Lineage: Bacteria
Description: partial 16S ribosomal RNA
Rfam family: Bacterial small subunit ribosomal RNA
Source: RNAcentral